Molecule: non-coding RNA, 71 nt
Organism: Podarcis lilfordi (Lilford's wall lizard)
Lineage: Eukaryota; Metazoa; Chordata; Lepidosauria; Squamata; Lacertidae
Source: the annotation of a GenBank genome assembly
GGACCGUAUCUUAGAGGUAGAGCAUCUCCUCUGCAUACAGAAGGUCCCAGGUUCACUCCCUGGCAUCUCCA